Molecule: ribosomal RNA, 253 nt
Filed under: uncultured bacterium
Lineage: Bacteria
Description: partial 16S ribosomal RNA
Rfam family: Bacterial small subunit ribosomal RNA
Source: RNAcentral
UACAGAGGUCUCAAGCGUUGUUCGGAUUCAUUGGGCGUAAAGGGUGCGUAGGCGGCGCGGUAAGUCGGGUGUGAAAUCUCGGAGCUUAACUCCGAAACUGCAUUCGAUACUGCCGUGCUUGAGGACUGGAGAGGAGACUGGAAUUUACGGUGUAGCGGUGAAAUGCGUAGAUAUCGGAAGGAACAUCAGUGGCGAAGGCGACUUCCUGGACCAAUACUGACGCUCAGGUGCGAAAGCGUGGGGAGCAAACAGG